RNAcentral lists this ribosomal RNA (439 nucleotides) under uncultured bacterium. RNAcentral describes it as "bacterial SSU rRNA". It matches the Rfam family "Bacterial small subunit ribosomal RNA", at positions 340 to 789 of the family's 1533-position model. The record is from RNAcentral.
UACGGGAGGCAGCAGUGGGGAAUAUUGCACAAUGGGCGCAAGCCUGAUGCAGCGACGCCGCGUGAGGGAUGACGGCCUUCGGGUUGUAAACCUCUUUCAGUAGGGAAGAAGCGAAAGUGACGGUACCUGCAGAAGAAGCACCGGCUAACUACGUGCCAGCAGCCGCGGCAAUACGUAGGGUGCGAGCGUUAUCCGGAAUUAUUGGGCGUAAAGAGCUCGUAGGCGGUUUGUCGCGUCUGUCGUGAAAGUCCGGGGCUUAACCCCCGGAUCUGCGGUGGGUACGGGCAGACUAGAGUGCAGUAGGGGAGACUGGAAUUCCUGGUGUAGCGGUGGAAUGCGCAGAUAUCAGGAGGAACACCGAUGGCGAAGGCAGGUCUCUGGGCUGUAACUGACGCUGAGGAGCGAAAGCAUGGGGAGCGAACAGGGAUUAGAUACCCGU